AGUGAACGCUGGCGGUAGGCCUAACACAUGCAAGUCGAACGGCAGCACCGUAAGAGCUUGCUCUUACGGGUGGCGAGUGGCGGACGGGUGAGGAAUACAUCGGAAUCUACUUUUUCGUGGGGGAUAACGUAGGGAAACUUACGCUAAUACCGCAUACGACCUACGGGUGAAAGCAGGGGAUCGUCGGACCUUGCGCGAGGGAAUGAGCCGAUGUUGGAUUAGCUAGUUGGCGGGGUAAAGGCCCACCAAGGCGACGAUCCGUAACUGGUAUGAGAGGAUGAUCAGCCACACUGGAACUGAGACACGGUCGAGACUCCUGCGGGGGGCCGCAGUGGGGAAUAUUGGACGAUGGGGGCAAGCCUGAUCCAGCCAUACCGCGUGGGUGAAGAAGGCCUUCGGGUUGGAGAGCCCUUUUGUUGGGAAAGAAAAGCAGCAGGUUAAUACCCCGCUGUUCUGACGGUACCCAAAGAAUAAGCGCCGGCUAACUUCGUG
This 492-nucleotide ribosomal RNA is filed under the name uncultured bacterium. RNAcentral describes it as "partial 16S ribosomal RNA". It matches the Rfam family "Bacterial small subunit ribosomal RNA", at positions 29 to 507 of the family's 1533-position model. The record is from RNAcentral.